CCUACGGGUGGCAGCAGUGAGGAAUAUUGGUCAAUGGGCGCGAGCCUGAACCAGCCAAGUCGCGUGAGGGAAGACGGUCCUAUGGAUUGUAAACCUCUUUUGUCGGGGAGCAAAAGACGCCACGCGUCGCGUUCCGAGAGUACCCGAAGAAAAAGCAUCGGCUAACUCCGUGCCAGCAGCCGCGGUAAUACGGAGGAUGUGAGCGUUAUCCGGAUUUGUUUGGUUAAAAGGGUGCGCAGGCGGAAGAUCAAGUCAGCGGUAAAAUUGAGAGGCUCAACCUCUUCGAGCCGUUGAAACUGGUUUUAUUGAGUGAGCAAGAAGUAUGAGGAAUGUGAGGUGGAGCGGUGAAAUGCAUAGCU
Molecule: ribosomal RNA, 359 nt
Filed under: uncultured bacterium
Lineage: Bacteria
Description: partial 16S ribosomal RNA
Rfam family: Bacterial small subunit ribosomal RNA
Source: RNAcentral